RNAcentral lists this unclassified non-coding RNA (353 nucleotides) under soil metagenome. RNAcentral's name for it is "partial contains 5.8S ribosomal RNA, internal transcribed spacer 2, and large subunit ribosomal RNA". The stretch from base 1 to 120 matches the Rfam family "5.8S ribosomal RNA", at positions 35 to 154 of the family's 154-position model. The record is from RNAcentral.
GAUGAAGAACGUAGCGAAAUGCGAUAAGUAAUGUGAAUUGCAGAAUUCCGUGAAUCAUCGAAUCUUUGAACGCACAUUGCGCCCCCUGGCAUUCCGGGGGGCAUGCCUGUCCGAGCGUCAUUUCUGCCCUCCAGCCCGGCUGGGUGUUGGGCGCUGUCCCCCCGGGGACACGCCCCAAAGGCAGUGGCGGCGCCGCGUCGGGUCCUCGAGCGUAUGGGGCUUUGUCACCCGCUCGGGACGGACUCGUCGGCGCUGGUCUUCCUCCAGGCGACCCUUCGGGGCUCGUCUUCCUUCGGUUGACCUCGGAUCAGGUAGGGUUACCCGCUGAGCUUAAGCAUAUCAAUAACGGAGGA